This 74-nucleotide transfer RNA is filed under the name Bacillus subtilis. RNAcentral's name for it is "tRNA-Gln". It matches the Rfam family "tRNA". From Rfam's summary of the family: Transfer RNA (tRNA) molecules are approximately 80 nucleotides in length. The record is from RNAcentral. RNAcentral also lists the same sequence under 41 other names. Lineage: Bacteria; Bacillati; Bacillota; Bacilli; Caryophanales; Bacillaceae.
UGGGGAAUAGUUUAAUGGUAGAACGACGGACUCUGACUCCGUUAGUCUUGGUUCGAAUCCAGGUUCCCCAGCCA